RNAcentral lists this long non-coding RNA (555 nucleotides) under Homo sapiens (human). RNAcentral's name for it is "non-protein coding lnc-TCP1-3:5". The record is from RNAcentral. Lineage: Eukaryota; Metazoa; Chordata; Mammalia; Primates; Hominidae.
AGGUGGUUAUGGAGGUCUGAGCAGUGUGAGUGGUGGUUAUGGAGGUGGUUAUGGAGGUCUGAGCAGUGUGAGUGGUGGUUAUGGAGGUGGUUAUGGUGAUCAGAGCAAUGUGAGUGGUGGUUGUGGAGGUGGUUAUGGUGAUCAGAGCAAUGUGAGUGGUGGUUAUGGAGAUCAGAGCAGUGUGACUGGUGGUUAUGGAGGUGGUUAUGGUGGUCAGAGCAGCUGAGUGGUGGUUAUGGAGGUGGUUAUGGUGAUCAGAGCAAUGUGAGUGGUGGUUAUGGAGGUGGUUAUGGUGAUCAGAGCAAUGUGAGUGGUGGUUGUGGAGGUGGUUAUGGUGAUCAGAGCAGUGUGAGUGGUGGUUAUGGAGGUGGUUAUGGUGAUCAGAGCAAUGUGAGUGGUGGUAUUGGAGGUGGUUAUGGUGGUCAGAGCAGCUGAGUGGUGGUUAUGGAGGUGGUUAUGGUGGUCAGAGCAGUCUGAGUGGUGGUUAUGGAGGUCAGAGCAGUAUGAGUGGUGGUUAUGGUGGUCAGAGCAGUGUGACUGGUGGUUAUGGAGGUG